UACGGAGGGGGCUAGCGUUAUUCGGAAUUACUGGGCGUAAAGGGUGCGUAGGUGGUUUGGUAAGUUAGAUGUGAAAUUCCUGGGCUUAACCUGGGGACUGCGUCUGAUACUGCUGAGCUAGAGUACUGUAGAGGGAAGUGGAAUUUCCGGUGUAGCGGUGAAAUGCGUAGAUAUCGGAAGGAACAUCAGUGGCGAAGGCGACUUCCUGGACAGAUACUGACACUGAGGCACGAAAGCAUGGGUAGCAAACAGG
Molecule: ribosomal RNA, 253 nt
Filed under: uncultured bacterium
Lineage: Bacteria
Description: partial 16S ribosomal RNA
Rfam family: Bacterial small subunit ribosomal RNA
Source: RNAcentral